GUGUACAGCCAUACCACCCUGAACUCACCUGAUCCUAUUUGUUCUUGGAAACUAAGCAUGGUCAGCCCUAUGGGAGACAAGGCAUUUCUGAAUCCAUUCCUUUUGGGGUUUGUGUUAG
Molecule: ribosomal RNA, 118 nt
Organism: Spermophilus dauricus (Daurian ground squirrel)
Lineage: Eukaryota; Metazoa; Chordata; Mammalia; Rodentia; Sciuridae
Source: Ensembl